This is a long non-coding RNA of Gasterosteus aculeatus aculeatus (three-spined stickleback), 2093 nucleotides long. The record is from Ensembl. Lineage: Eukaryota; Metazoa; Chordata; Actinopteri; Perciformes; Gasterosteidae.
CUGACUUCAGAUACCUGUGCACUCCCUCAUCUGCAAUAAACAAGGAGCCAAUCCGAGGGAAGACAGAGAGUCGAGGAAAAGCAGAAGGGAUGGGUUAGAUAUGGAAAAAAUGUAAAAAUAGAUGGAUCAAAUGAAAAGAAAAAGGAACUUCUACCCCUGAGGGGGGCUCCACAACCUCACAGGAGCCGGUGAGGCAAAGAACAAAAUAUCCAGCAACAAGGAAAAAAUGUAGAAGAACGCUAACAAUGGAAUAACAAGAGAAGAAAGGAGUGACGGAGAUCCAGGGAUUUGUCAAUUUCCUUUUGGAGCUUACUGGAUGUUUCAACCAUGAACUUGAGUUUGACCUUUGCCUCCUUUCUUUUCCUGAGUCUUCACUCUUGUACAGAAAAGCUUUGUGAGCUGCUGAAAUGCCACAGUCCAGUGGGAUCUUGGUGCCAGGGAGUUCUGGAAAAUGGAGUACUCGUCCCCAAGUGCGUUUGUCCUCAGUCCUGUCCAAGCCCUACCUUACCCUAUUGGAUAAGAACAAGCUGAGCCACAGGGACCUGAGGAAGCUGUGAUACAAAAUGAUGCCACCGGAGCACCGGGCUUCAUCAAUCUCUCAGAAACCAACCGCAUGGAAGAAAAAAAGCAGUGAUUACAUGGCCUGUUGGAUAAGUAGUUGAAAUGAUGAUCCUAUACCAUAAGGGGACUGAGUAGUCAAUAAUGUUUGGGCAGUGCUGCUCACACUAAGGUUCACAAUGUGAACCUUCUGUCUCUUGCAAUAUGUUACUUCACUGCUAAUUACUGAAACACCGAGGGUUAAAAGUGUCACACGACGAUGCUUUUCGCCCCCGCUCUGUGACCAAGUUGCACCUCCCACCAUGCUGUUCUCUCUGCACGCCAUCUAUCUAUCCAUCCAUUCAUCGUCCAUGCCAACACCCGCUUCCUGUGUCCUCCUCCCCUCCGGUCUCACGACCGCACCAUCGCUCCAUCAUCUUACUCCUCCUCCACGUUGGAGCGCUUGUUUCCCCCUUCAGUGCUUCCUACUCUCAUCUUCAAAUAGACUUAUCCUCGGCCUCCUUUCCUGUCGAUCCUUUCUUCAUUUCCACUCGUUCUUUCCAUCUCUCCCCAUUCUUCAUCCUCCACUCUCCCAACCCCCUUUUUCCCUGCCAGUCUGCAGUGACAGGUUUUGUGGGAGUAGGACUGGCUGUGUCAAUGUCAAGCCAUUCCCAGCAAUGAUAAUGUUUAUUACCCACUGUGUCUCCCGCUGCCCAUGGAUUAACACAGAUUGAAGCAGUACCCUUCAGAGAUAACAUUGCAGGGUGAACGGAAAGACAAUGGCUGUCUAGCUAGCCCCGCAAUGGGAUUAAGCUCCUGCAAGCUGUGUCCUACAAUCAGACGAAGAUACCUCUAACGUGAAAAAAAGGCAAUGAACUAACUCCUUUCUGCAUGUCUGCUGAACUGUAAAGAACUGGCUGGAGACAACAUCUCCACAAUUUAAUAGCCACUGGCUGGCCUCUCUACACACUCCCAUCUGUUUCACGCCAGUGUUGCAGCUCAUAACGUUGUGAUUUAUGACCACGUCAAAUUUGAAAGUGUUUGGCUUGUCUGCGCAUUCGUACGUGCACGUGCUGACCGCCAACCUCGUUAAUUACAUCAGCUGACAUUUGUAUAUUGUCUAUUGUAAAAGAGCAGAGACGAUCGUCAAUGACGAGUAAAAAAAAAAUGACACGGCCUGCAACUAUGAGGGACGACGACAGCAGCGCGGACGGACAGCGGGAUGUUCCCUGAAUGACAGACUAGAUGGGGGGAAACAUCCGCUUCGUACGGGAUGACGUGACCAGAGAGGAGACAAAGGGAUCAUGACGGGGAGAAGUGGUGGAAAGAGUCAUAAUGCACUAGAAGAGAGAGGGGAAGGGGGGAGGAGGGGAGACAAAGUGACCGAAGGAAGGAAGGAGAGAGAGAGAGAGAGAAGUAUAAAAGGUCUCAGAAAGAUGGAAGGAGGUAAUGCAUCGUAAAUGGCAUUGGAGUGUAAUGCAUAAAAAAUGGAUCAGAAAUGAGGGAAAGACUGAGAACGGAGGAGUGAGAGGAAGGUGGGGGGAGGGGGGCGGGGG